CAGUAGCCGCGGGAAUACGUAGGGUGCGAGCGUUAAUCGGAAUUACUGGGCGUAAAGCGUGCGCAGGCGGUUGUGUAAGACAGGUGUGAAAUCCCCGGGCUUAACCUAGGAACUGCAUUUGUGACUGGCGGGCUAGAGUAUGGCAGAGGGGGGUAGAAUUCCACGUGUAGCAGUGAAAUGCGUAGAGAUGUGGAGGAAUACCGAUGGCGAAGGCAGCCCCCUGGGCCAAUACUGACGCUCAUGCACGAAAGCGUGGGGAGCAAACAGGAUUAGAUACCCGCGUAGUCCCUGUCUCUUAUAC
This 301-nucleotide ribosomal RNA is filed under the name uncultured bacterium. Its description in RNAcentral is "partial 16S ribosomal RNA". It matches the Rfam family "Bacterial small subunit ribosomal RNA", at positions 509 to 807 of the family's 1533-position model. The record is from RNAcentral.